Molecule: ribosomal RNA, 468 nt
Filed under: uncultured bacterium
Lineage: Bacteria
Description: partial 16S ribosomal RNA
Rfam family: Bacterial small subunit ribosomal RNA
Source: RNAcentral
GACGAACGCUGGCGGCGUGCUUAACACAUGCAAGUCGAACGGAAAGGCCCUGCUUUUGUGGGGUGCUCGAGUGGCGAAAGGGUGAGUAACACGUGAGUAAACUGCCCUUGACUUUGGGAUAACUUCAGGAAACUGGGGCUAAUACCGGAUAGGAGCUCCUGCUGCAUGGUGGGGGUUGGAAAGUUUCGGCGGUUGGGGAUGGACUCGCGGCUUAUCAGCUUGUUGGUGGGGUAGUGGCUUACCAAGGCUUUGACGGGUAGCCGGCCUGAGAGGGUGACCGGCCACAUUGGGACUGAGAUACGGCCCAGACUCCUACGGGAGGCAGCAGUGGGGAAUAUUGCACAAUGGGCUGAAGCCUGAUGCAGCAACGCCGCGCGCGGGAUGACGGCCUUCGGGUUGUAAACCGCUUUCGCCUGUGACGAAGCGUGAGUGACGGUAAUGGGUAAAGAAGCACCGGCUAACUACGUG